This 159-nucleotide ribosomal RNA is filed under the name uncultured bacterium. RNAcentral describes it as "partial 16S ribosomal RNA". It matches the Rfam family "Bacterial small subunit ribosomal RNA", at positions 329 to 505 of the family's 1533-position model. The record is from RNAcentral.
GCCCAGACUCCUACGGGAGGCAGCAGUGGGGAAUAUUGGACAAUGGGCGCAAGCCUGAUCCAGCCAUGCCGCGUGAGUGAUGAAGGCCUUAGGGUUGUAAAGCUCUUUUGUCCGGGACGAUAAUGACGGUACCGGAAGAAUAAGCCCCGGCUAACUUCG